AGAAGAAUAGCCAGUUCUCUUAACCACUGAGCCAUCUCUCCAGCCCUUACCAUGUAUAGCUUUGAGCUAUCAUUUUCAGAUGCUUACAAAGGAGUUUGCUGAGGUUUUUGUUUGUUUUGUUUUGUUUGGAGACAAGAUCUCUCUACAUAGUCCUAGCUUACCUGGAACUCACUGGGUAGACCAGGCUGGCCUCGAACUCACCAGCUCAGGAGUUUUCAUUCUUAACAAGGAAAGAGAUGAGAUAGGAUGUUGAUACAGGAAACCAGCAAUAUACUUGGGAAAUGACAUUGAGUCACAUGUGGCCCCAAGUGAAGGGUAUGACUUUCCUACAUCAUAUGUGGAAAACAUUUUCACUUCCCUCUCAUCAUUACCAUCCUGUUAAGCAUCAUUUCCCAGUAUUCAAAUGAAGAAGGGACUCUCCUAAUUUCUGCAAAGAACUUCUUUCCAUGUUUCCCUUUUUAGUCUUUUCCCAAGUGAUUCUCAUCUCCAUGGCAACAUUGCUGGUAAAUAUUCAGUUUCCUAACACUAGACUCCUUCUCAGGCAUCACAGGCUUCAGAAGAGUGAUUUGUCAUUGAUUAGGAAAUUGCUAUGUGCUGGGUAAUACAUGAGGCAGUUUAUAGUCAUUUUACCUUAACCCAUACACAGGGACAAGGUCAGAAGUGCAAAGAGGUGGGCAGCCCACCCAAAGACACACAGCAGAGCUAGGACAUGAUCUCAUGUACUUUUGGCCCAUUGGCCUAGUGCUAAGUAUGUUUGAGCUGAGGCUUAUGGGAAGGGCUGAAGAGCAUAGGCCAGCUUGAGGUUGAAGCAAGAGGAUUUGGAGAGAGCAACCCCACCCCACCCCCAUAGCUGUCCACAGCACCCCCAUUCCUAUUAGCUGUAUGCAGCCCACACCCUCCUCCUUAAGCAAACACACUCCUGGCCUCUGACAGCAGAGGACAGCAGGUCAGUCUCUCUGCCUGCCUGUGUUAAGAGAAAAGCCUCCAUAGAAACAGUCAUAGAGAAUCAUUUAGGAGAACAAGAGGCUUAGCCAGAUGUGGCAGCAGAUGCCAAUAACCCCAGCACCCAAGAAGCUGAAGCAGGAGGAUCCCGAGUGUGUGACCAGACUGGGCUACACAGAGAGACCUUAUCUCAAAGAAUGAAGAGGAAAAUAAGUAUGUAAACAAAUAUUUUCUGUAUUUCACAAGACAGUCAUCAGUUGGCAUGGGGCAGGAUGAGAUUGGGGGAAGCAGUUCAGAGGAAAGAGCAAGCAUUCCACAGAUCAUUCCAGAAAGAAAUCCACUCAUCUUGAACACUGGAUUGAAAAGAAGCCAGUGGAGCCUGUCAGGGGAGGGACCCUGUUGUUUUCAGAGCCGCGUCUGUCACUGAGGAGGGUGAACAGCACAUCUGCUGGGUUCCGCACCCGUCCUAGGGAGAGACCUUAUGCUGCAGCUGUUGCCCCAGCUGACCCACAGGGUGAUGUCUGCAGUGGAGAGCACAGCAAGG
Molecule: long non-coding RNA, 1486 nt
Organism: Peromyscus leucopus (white-footed mouse)
Lineage: Eukaryota; Metazoa; Chordata; Mammalia; Rodentia; Cricetidae
Exons: 2
Source: RefSeq, a predicted model, not a curated record